UACGUAGGGUGCGAGCGUUGUCCGGAAUUAUUGGGCGUAAAGGGCUCGUAGGCGGUUUUGUCGCGUCGGGGAGUGAAAAACACCGGGCUUAACUCGGUGCUUGCUUUCGAUACGGGCAGACUAGAGGCAUGCAGGGGGAGAACGGAAUUCCUGGUGUAGCGGUGAAAUGCGCAGAUAUCAGGAGGAACACCAAUGGCGAAGGCAGAUCUCUGGGGCCGUAACUGACGCUGAGGAGCGAAAAGCAUGGGGGAGCGAACAGG
RNAcentral lists this ribosomal RNA (260 nucleotides) under uncultured bacterium. Its description in RNAcentral is "partial 16S ribosomal RNA". It matches the Rfam family "Bacterial small subunit ribosomal RNA", at positions 524 to 776 of the family's 1533-position model. The record is from RNAcentral.